RNAcentral lists this ribosomal RNA (490 nucleotides) under uncultured bacterium. RNAcentral describes it as "partial 16S ribosomal RNA". It matches the Rfam family "Bacterial small subunit ribosomal RNA", at positions 30 to 507 of the family's 1533-position model. The record is from RNAcentral.
AUUGAACGCUGGCGGCAGGCCUAACACAUGCAAGUCGAACGGUAACAGGAAGCAGCUUGCUGCUUCGCUGACGAGUGGCGGACGGGUGAGUAAUGUCUGGGAAACUGCAUGAUGGAGGGGGAUAACUACUGGAAACGGUAGCUAAUACCGCAUAACGUCGCAAGACCAAAGAGGGGGACCUUAGGGCCUCUUGCCAUCGGAUGUGCCCAGAUGGGAUUAGCUAGUAGGUGGGGUAACGGCUCACCUAGGCGACGAUCCCUAGCUGGUCUGAGAGGAUGACCAGCCACACUGGAACUGAGACACGGUCCAGACUCCUACGGGAGGCAGCAGUGGGGAAUAUUGCACAAUGGGCGCAAGCCUGAUGCAGCCAUGCCGCGUGUAUGAAGAAGGCCUUCGGGUUGUAAAGUACUUUCAGCGGGGAGGAAGGGAGUAAAGUUAAUACCUUUGCUCAUUGACGUUACCCGCAGAAGAAGCACCGGCUAACUCCGUG